AAACUCAAUAUAAUUAAUUUGUGACUAAGCACCAAAUAGUGUAACUAAUACGUAAGUAAUUGAAUGCAACCAAAAAUUUAAAUGAAAUAUAACCUUAAAUUAUACGUAACCUCCAAAAUGACAAGUAUUUAUCUCGUUUAUCAUAAGUAUAAAAAAACUUCGUUAAACACAAAAAAACAACACAGUGAAAGUGAGGGAAGAAAAAGAAUGAAGGAACAAGAGGAGAUAGGUAAGAUAGGAUAGAGGCUCGACAAAUGAAUUCCCUUCCUUUAUUUUAUUUGACCACCCUGACGAUGUAACGGAGACGGCACAACAAUUACAGCCUGACCUUUGCCGAAGAGUGUAGCUUGCCAAUUAAGGUGACCGGAGUGGAUGGUGUGACUAACGGCUGACAAUCGAUGUGGCUUUGGUGAUGUGGACCGGAACACAACGAACGCAAGACGUAGGUAUAGAUGGUUCCGGGAUGUAUCGGUAAGUAUCACGAUAGGCAAGGAUGUCUGGUUCCGAUUAUUGUAGAUGAUGGAAUCCAACGUAGUGUGAUGAAACCUCCAAGGAAACUUGAAGACGACGAACGCAAUAAAGUAGACGUAAAAGAAAAAGCUCUUGAGAUGACGAGCGAGCUUAUGGUGAAUGUGACGGCAGAUCCGCAAUAUAUGCGCGAGAAGAAUUAACCACCAAAAUAUCAAACGGCACGUACUUAAUCUUCUCUGACAACCAAUUCUCUAUAAAUCCUUCCUUAGAAGCUCAAUAUAAUUGUAAUUAAAGACUUGGUGAAAUCACAUGUACUUCAUACAAGAUGUCUACAGGAAAAGUGAAAGUUGAUAACAGUAUACGGGAAAAGGAAAUUGUUAUCAGCUACAGGGAAAGAAGAGAAAAUGAAAUAAAGUAUUUCGAAGACUUAAUAGGCCUUAAGGGUAAGAAAAUAAACUGUUACAGCCCACAUA
Molecule: long non-coding RNA, 944 nt
Organism: Photinus pyralis (common eastern firefly)
Lineage: Eukaryota; Metazoa; Arthropoda; Insecta; Coleoptera; Lampyridae
Exons: 2
Source: RefSeq, a predicted model, not a curated record